RNAcentral lists this ribosomal RNA (419 nucleotides) under uncultured Prevotella sp. RNAcentral's name for it is "bacterial SSU rRNA". It matches the Rfam family "Bacterial small subunit ribosomal RNA", at positions 358 to 774 of the family's 1533-position model. The record is from RNAcentral. Lineage: Bacteria; Pseudomonadati; Bacteroidota; Bacteroidia; Bacteroidales; Prevotellaceae.
GGAAUAUUGGUCAAUGGACGAGAGUCUGAACCAGCCAAGUAGCGUGCAGGAUGACGGCCCUAUAGGUUGUAAACUGCUUUUAUGCGGGGAUAAAGUGAGGGACGUGUCCCUUUUUGUAGGUACCGCAUGAAUAAGGACCGGCUAAUUCCGUGCCAGCAGCCGCGGUAAUACGGAAGGUCCGGGCGUUAUCCGGAUUUAUUGGGUUUAAAGGGAGCGCAGGCGGGCGUUUAAGCGUGACGUGAAAUGUAGCCGCUCAACGGCUGAACUGCGUCGCGAACUGGAUGCCUUGAGUGAGUACGACGCGGACGGAAUUCGUGGUGUAGCGGUGAAAUGCUUAGAUAUCACGAAGAACCCCGAUUGCGAAGGCAGCUGACGAGUCCUUUACUGACGCUAAAGCUCGAAGGUGCGGGUAUCGAACA